GUGAUUAGCUCAGUUGGGAGAGCAUCGCCCUUACAAGGCGAGGGUCACUGGUUCAAGUCCAGUAUAUA
Molecule: transfer RNA, 68 nt
Filed under: Pseudoalteromonas sp. S1610
Lineage: Bacteria; Pseudomonadati; Pseudomonadota; Gammaproteobacteria; Alteromonadales; Pseudoalteromonadaceae
Description: tRNA-Val
Rfam family: tRNA
About the family: Transfer RNA (tRNA) molecules are approximately 80 nucleotides in length. Their secondary structure includes four short double-helical elements and three loops (D, anti-codon, and T loops).
Source: RNAcentral